UCGAGAAUUUUUCACAAUGGGCGAAAGCCUGAUGGAGCGACGCCGCGUGGGGGAUGAAUGGCUUCGGCCCGUAAACCCCUGUCAUUUGCGAUCAAACCUCACAACUUAAUACGUCGUGAGUUGAUAGUAGCAAAAGAGGAAGGGACGGCUAACUCUGUGCCAGCAGCCGCGGUAAUACAGAGGUCCCAAGCGUUGUUCGGAUUCACUGGGCGUAAAGGGUGCGUAGGCGGUCGGGUAAGUCUGACGUGAAAUCCUGGAGCUUAACUCCGGAACUGCGUCGGAAACUAUUCGGCUAGAGGAUUGGAAGGGGGACUGGAAUUCUCGGUGUAGCAGUGAAAUGCGUAGAUAUCGAGAGGAACACCAGUGGCGAAGGCGAGUCUCUGGACAGUCCCUGACACUGAGGCACGAAAGCUAGGGGAGCAAACA
Molecule: ribosomal RNA, 426 nt
Filed under: uncultured prokaryote
Description: bacterial SSU rRNA
Rfam family: Bacterial small subunit ribosomal RNA
Source: RNAcentral